GUCGACGAACUCUGGUAUUGAUUGGUGCUUGCAUCAUGAUUUACAUUUGAGUGAGUGGCGAACUGGUGAGUAACACGUGGGAAACCUGCCCAGAAGCGGGGGAUAACACCUGGAAACAGAUGCUAAUACCGCAUAACAACUUGGACCGCAUGGUCCGAGUUUGAAAGAUGGCUUCGGCUAUCACUUUUGGAUGGUCCCGCGGCGUAUUAGCUAGAUGGUGAGGUAACGGCUCACCAUGGCAAUGAUACGUAGCCGACCUGAGAGGGUAAUCGGCCACAUUGGGACUGAGACACGGCCCAAACUCCUACGGGAGGCAGCAGUAGGGAAUCUUCCACAAUGGACGAAAGUCUGAUGGAGCAACGCCGCGUGAGUGAAGAAGGGUUUCGGCUCGUAAAACUCUGUUGUUAAAGAAGAACAUAUCUGAGAGUAACUGUUCAGGUAUUGACGGUAUUUAACCAGAAAGCCACGGCUAACUACGUGCCAGCAGCCGCGGUAAUACGUAGGUGGCAAGCGUUGUCCGGAUUUAUUGGGCGUAAAGCGAGCGCAGGCGGUUUUUUAAGUCUGAUGUGAAAGCCUUCGGCUCAACCGAAGAAGUGCAUCGGAAACUGGGAAACUUGAGUGCAGAAGAGGACAGUGGAACUCCAUGUGUAGCGGUGAAAUGCGUAGAUAUAUGGAAGAACACCAGUGGCGAAGGCGGCUGUCUGGUCUGUAACUGACGCUGAGGCUCGAAAGUAUGGGUAGCAAACAGGAUUAGAUACCCUGGUAGUCCAUACCGUAAACGAUGAAUGCUAAGUGUUGGAGGGUUUCCGCCCUUCAGUGCUGCAGCUAACGCAUUAAGCAUUCCGCCUGGGGAGUACGGCCGCAAGGCUGAAACUCAAAGGAAUUGACGGGGGCCCGCACAAGCGGUGGAGCAUGUGGUUUAAUUCGAAGCUACGCGAAGAACCUUACCAGGUCUUGACAUACUAUGCAAAUCUAAGAGAUUAGACGUUCCCUUCGGGGACAUGGAUACAGGUGGUGCAUGGUUGUCGUCAGCUCGUGUCGUGAGAUGUUGGGUUAAGUCCCGCAACGAGCGCAACCCUUAUUAUCAGUUGCCAGCAUUAAGUUGGGCACUCUGGUGAGACUGCCGGUGACAAACCGGAGGAAGGUGGGGAUGACGUCAAAUCAUCAUGCCCCUUAUGACCUGGGCUACACACGUGCUACAAUGGAUGGUACAACGAGUUGCGAACUCGCGAGAGUAAGCUAAUCUCUUAAAGCCAUUCUCAGUUCGGAUUGUAGGCUGCAACUCGCCUACAUGAAGUCGGAAUCGCUAGUAAUCGCGGAUCAGCAUGCCGCGGUGAAUACGUUCCCGGGCCUUGUACACACCGCCCGUCACACCAUGAGAGUUUGUAACACCCAAAGUCGGUGGG
RNAcentral lists this ribosomal RNA (1406 nucleotides) under Lactobacillus sp. RNAcentral describes it as "bacterial SSU rRNA". It matches the Rfam family "Bacterial small subunit ribosomal RNA", at positions 61 to 1434 of the family's 1533-position model. Lineage: Bacteria; Bacillati; Bacillota; Bacilli; Lactobacillales; Lactobacillaceae. The record is from RNAcentral.